This 348-nucleotide unclassified non-coding RNA is filed under the name soil metagenome. RNAcentral describes it as "partial contains 5.8S ribosomal RNA, internal transcribed spacer 2, and large subunit ribosomal RNA". The stretch from base 1 to 120 matches the Rfam family "5.8S ribosomal RNA", at positions 35 to 154 of the family's 154-position model. The record is from RNAcentral.
GAUGAAGAACGUAGCGAAAUGCGAAAAGUAAUGUGAAUUGCAGAAUUCAGUGAACCAUCGAAUCUUUGAACGCACAUUGCGCCCGCUGGAACUCCGGCGGGCACGCCUGUCCGAGCGUCAUUUCAACCCUCAGGCCCCCCUUCGCGGGCGGGCCUGGUGUUGGGGCCCGGCCGCUACCCUGCGGCCGUCCCCUAAAUUCAGUGGCGGCCUCGCCGUGAUCCCUUGCGUAGUAAUGCACCUCGCACCGGAGNGCGCCGUGGCCACGCCGUAAAACCCCCAAUUUUCAAUGGUUGACCUCGGAUCAGGUGGGAAUACCCGCUGAACUUAAGCAUAUCAAUAAGCGGAGGA